Ictidomys tridecemlineatus (thirteen-lined ground squirrel) is the source of this 239-nucleotide non-coding RNA. The record is from RefSeq and is a predicted model, not a curated record. NCBI's taxonomy places the organism in Eukaryota, Metazoa, Chordata, Mammalia, Rodentia, Sciuridae.
UGACCCGUUGCAGUUCACCCCAGAAAUGAUGGUGUCAUUCAUGCUUCCAGUGGCAUCGCGGACCACACAGGCUGCUGUGGAGACAAUUAUGUUUCCCCUACAGGAAGCAGAAAACCACUGAGAAGUCCACUUUGGUAAAACAGUCAUCAGUCCUCCAUAGUCGACCAGCCUGGCUACUGAAAUUCCUAGGAGAAUCACUACUGUGAUGGAGCCUAUUAUCCGGAUGUCAUUGGUUGGAU